GAGUUCAAACGAAACAGACAAUACAACCAAGGGCUGGUCUCAUCUGAUCUCAGAAGCUAAGUAAGGUUUGGCUUGGUUAGUAUUUGAAUAGGAGAUCGCCUGGGAAUACUAGCUUUAAGCUUA
This 123-nucleotide ribosomal RNA is filed under the name Sinocyclocheilus rhinocerous. Lineage: Eukaryota; Metazoa; Chordata; Actinopteri; Cypriniformes; Cyprinidae. The record is from RNAcentral.